UGCAGUCGAGGGGCAGCACGUCUUCGGAUGGUGGCGACCGGCGCACGGGUGAGUAACGCGUAUGCAACCUACCUGUAACUGGGGGAUAGCUCCCUGAAAGGGGAAUUAACACCGCAUAAGACUACGGAAUCGCAUGGUUCAGUGGUCAAAUAUUUAUAGGUUACAGAUGGGCAUGCGUGACAUUAGUUUGUUGGUGAGGUAACGGCUCACCAAGACUACGAUGUCUAGGGGUUCUGAGAGGAAGGUCCCCCACACUGGUACUGAGACACGGACCAGACUCCUACGGGAGGCAGCAGUGAGGAAUAUUGGUCAAUGGACGCAAGUCUGAACCAGCCAUGUCGCGUGCAGGAUGACUGCCCUAUGGGUUGUAAACUGCUUUUGUAUGGGAAGAAAACGUUCUACGUGUAGAAUUUUGCCGGUACCAUACGAAUAAGGAUCGGCUAACUCCGUGCCAGCAGCCGCGGUAAUACGGAGGAUCCGAGCGUUAUCCGGAUUUAUUGGGUUUAAAGGGUGCGUAGGCGGAAUGGUAAGUCAGUGGUGAAAUACUGCAGCUUAACUGUAGAAUUGCCAUUGAUACUGUCAUUCUUGAGUACAGUUGAGGUAGGCGGAAUGUGGUGUGUAGCGGUGAAAUGCUUAGAUAUACCACAGAACACCGAUUGCGAAGGCAGCUUACUAAAGUGUCACUGACGCUGAUGCACGAAAGCGUGGGUAUCAAACAGGAUUAGAUACCCUGGUAGUCCACGCUGUAAACGAUGAUUACUGGUUGUUUGCGAUACAUUGCAAGUGACUGAGCGAAAGCAUUAAGUAAUCCACCUGGGGAGUACGUCGGCAACGAUGAAACUCAAAGGAAUUGACGGGGGCCCGCACAAGCGGAGGAACAUGUGGUUUAAUUCGAUGAUACGCGAGGAACCUUACCUGGGUUUAAAUGGGGGAGUGACAGACUUGGGAAACAGGGUUUUUCUUCGGACACUCUUUCAAGGUGCUGCAUGGGUUGUCGUCAGCUCCGUGCC
RNAcentral lists this ribosomal RNA (1010 nucleotides) under uncultured bacterium. Its description in RNAcentral is "bacterial SSU rRNA". It matches the Rfam family "Bacterial small subunit ribosomal RNA", at positions 56 to 1066 of the family's 1533-position model. The record is from RNAcentral.